AUGAAGGCCUUCGGGUCGUAAAGCUCUUUCGCCUGCGAUGAUAAUGACGGUAGCAGGUAAAGAAACCCCGGCUAACUCCGUGCCAGCAGCCGCGGUAAUACGGAGGGGGUUAGCGUUGUUCGGAAUUACUGGGCGUAAAGCGCACGUAGGCGGAUUUGAAAGUUGGGGGUGAAAUCCCGGGGCUCAACCCCGGAACUGCCUCCGAAACUGCCAGACUAGAGUUCGAGAGAGGUGAGUGGAAUUCCGAGUGUAGAGGUGAAAUUCGUAGAUAUUCGGAGGAACACCAGUGGCGAAGGCGGCUCACUGGAUCGAUACUGACGCUGAGGUGCGAAAGUGUGGGGAGCAAACAGGAUUAGAUACCCUGGUAGUCCACACC
RNAcentral lists this ribosomal RNA (376 nucleotides) under Leisingera caerulea. RNAcentral's name for it is "bacterial SSU rRNA". It matches the Rfam family "Bacterial small subunit ribosomal RNA", at positions 408 to 801 of the family's 1533-position model. Lineage: Bacteria; Pseudomonadati; Pseudomonadota; Alphaproteobacteria; Rhodobacterales; Roseobacteraceae. The record is from RNAcentral.